GUUUGUAUAAAGGAGCAGAUAGACAAACUAAGAUGAAUUAAUAAUAAUAAACAUCAUAAUGGAAAAACUGAAGAAAAAAGUAAGUAACGAAAAAGAAACAACACAGAAUAUUUAACAACACAUAAACAUGAUAAACUUGUUUUCACACAAUGUAAACAAAACACAUAUAAACAUAUACACACAUGCGCCCCCACAUACAUUUGCUGAAACCAGAACAUACAUCUAUACAUGUACAUGUAUAUAUAUAUAUAAAAAUAUUGCUGAC
This 265-nucleotide long non-coding RNA is filed under the name Mytilus galloprovincialis (Mediterranean mussel). Lineage: Eukaryota; Metazoa; Mollusca; Bivalvia; Mytilida; Mytilidae. The record is from RNAcentral.